This 76-nucleotide transfer RNA is filed under the name Roseicyclus sp. Its description in RNAcentral is "tRNA-Trp". It matches the Rfam family "tRNA". From Rfam's summary of the family: Transfer RNA (tRNA) molecules are approximately 80 nucleotides in length. Their secondary structure includes four short double-helical elements and three loops (D, anti-codon, and T loops). Further hydrogen bonds mediate the characteristic L-shaped molecular structure. tRNAs have two regions of fundamental functional importance: the anti-codon, which is responsible for specific mRNA codon recognition, and the 3' end, to which the tRNAs corresponding amino acid is attached (by aminoacyl-tRNA synthetases). tRNAs cope with the degeneracy of the genetic code in two manners: having more than one tRNA (with a specific anti-codon) for a particular amino acid; and 'wobble' base-pairing, i.e. permitting non-standard base-pairing at the 3rd anti-codon position. Lineage: Bacteria; Pseudomonadati; Pseudomonadota; Alphaproteobacteria; Rhodobacterales; Roseobacteraceae. The record is from RNAcentral.
AGGGGUGUAGCUCAGUUGGUAGAGCACUGGAUUCCAAAUCCAGCGGUCGUGAGUUCGAGUCUCUCCGCCCCUGCCA